UAUAUAUAUAUAUAUAUAAUUUGUGUGUUUUGAGGUGAAACAUGGCGUUGACAUUUCUAAAAUGAUAAAAAAUGACACUGAUUUCACACUCUGGUCCUCGAGCACAGAUUCACAUUACUAAAUGAUUUCUCUGAAAUGAACUGAAAUUGUGUCACUUUCAGACACGGCGCUGGCCUUGAAUCCCUGAAGCGAUAAUGUGAGUUUAUUUGGGGCAUAAAUUUGGGAGAGAGCAGUAUUUUUCACAGGUACCGCUCUAGUUCUAUAGGGCGGCUGCUUUAAACGCAGCUUUUAAGGUAUUCUGGGAAGCUCUUGGGCUGUUCAGAUCGAUGUUUCAUGAAUUAUUUGAAGUGAUUCUAGUCUAAACCACUGGAGGAGCCCAAAAGCCCUGCUAUAAAGCGUAUAGCUGUGGUUCAGCGCAUUGCAUUAUGGGUAAUAAUAUGAAGGGAGGAUCUUUUAGAUUUUCAGAAAAUAAAUCAACAUCAAAUAUUUAUUUAAACAGCUAUUUUUAAUCCAAUUUACCCUGUUUGAAUGAGAUUUUAACCAGUGAAAUCCUCGGGACGAUGGUUUAUAUGUGAUCCGGCUCUCAUUUUGACUUCUUUUUUUCCCAACUGAUCCAUGAAAACCAAACCAUUUUAACUCUGUGUAUGAACUGAAUCCUGUACAUGGUGUGAAUACUCUCCUCUCUCUUCAGAUUAAUCAGAUGAUUUUAGUAUAAAGUAGAAGCGGCCUCUUUCAUGGUCGUUUCCGAGUUUAUUUACUAGCGUUGAUUUGUAUGUAUAGUCAAAUGUGAAAAGAUGUUCAGCAGCUGAAUAAAUAACUCUAUGGGAAAAUGUCUGGUGUUUUUGAGACCUGGAUGCUGUUUGUAAUGCAAAAUAUUUAGCAUUCGCAUUAAAUCCUCAUGGAUGAGGUACAAUCAAACUAAACUGAACAAAUGCAGGGGUUUCCAGACAUUUUAUUGCAAAAGUUGAACUGCUUUUAACAUCUUAAAAACAACGCUUCUGGCAUAAAACCUCACAAAGCGUUGCAUUUUAAUGGACAAAAAAAACAUUUAAAAAAACUGG
Molecule: long non-coding RNA, 1061 nt
Filed under: Sinocyclocheilus grahami
Lineage: Eukaryota; Metazoa; Chordata; Actinopteri; Cypriniformes; Cyprinidae
Description: lncRNA (ENSSGRG00000029819.1)
Source: RNAcentral